This 430-nucleotide ribosomal RNA is filed under the name uncultured bacterium. Its description in RNAcentral is "bacterial SSU rRNA". It matches the Rfam family "Bacterial small subunit ribosomal RNA", at positions 518 to 952 of the family's 1533-position model. The record is from RNAcentral.
CGGUAAUACAGAGGGUGCAAGCGUUAAUCGGAAUUACUGGGCGUAAAGCGCGCGUAGGUGGUUCAGUAAGAUGGAAGUGAAAUCCCCGGGCUUAACCUGGGAACUGCUUUCAUAACUGCUGGGCUAGAGUACGGUAGAGGGUAGUGGAAUCUCCUGUGUAGCGGUGAAAUGCGUAGAUAUAGGAAGGAACACCAGUGGCGAAGGCGACUACCUGGACUGAUACUGACACUGAGGCACGAAAGCGUGGGGAGCAAACAGGAUUAGAUACCCUGGUAGUCCACGCCGUAAACGAUGANUACUAGGUGUCGGGCGAGAGCUCGGUGCCGAAGUUAACACAUUAAGUACUCCGCCUGGGGAGUACGCUCGCAAGANUAAAACUCAAAGGAAUUGACGGGGACCCNCACAAGCAGCGNANCAUGUGGUUUAAUUC